GUUUUCCGCGCCGUAGCUAACGCAUUAAGUGCCCCGCCUGGGGAGUACGGCCGCAAGGCUAAAACUCAAAGGAAUUGACGGGGGCCCGCACAAGCGGUGGAGCAUGUGGCUUAAUUCGAUGCAACGCGAGGAACCUUACCUGGGCUAAAUCUACAGCGCUACCUCUGGAAACAGAGGGUUCUCUAUGAGACGCUAUAGAAGGUGCUGCAUGGCUGUCGUCAGCUCGUGCCGUGA
RNAcentral lists this ribosomal RNA (234 nucleotides) under Goniomonas pacifica. RNAcentral's name for it is "partial Bacterial small subunit ribosomal RNA". It matches the Rfam family "Bacterial small subunit ribosomal RNA", at positions 836 to 1070 of the family's 1533-position model. Lineage: Eukaryota; Cryptophyceae; Goniomonadida; Goniomonadaceae. The record is from RNAcentral.